AACGAACGCUGGCGGCAGGCCUAACACAUGCGAGUCGAGCGCCCCGCCAGGGGAGCGGCGGCCGGGUGAGUAACGCGUGGGAAUAUGCCCUUUGCUACGGAAUAGUCUCGGGAAACUGGGGGUAAUACCGUAUACGCCCUUUGGGGGAAAGAUUUAUCGGCGAAGGAUUAGCCCGCGUUGGAUUAGGUAGUUGGUGGGGUAAUGGCCUACCAAGCCGACGAUCCAUAGCUGGUUUGAGAGGAUGAUCAGCCACACUGGGACUGAGACACGGCCCAGACUCCUACGGGAGGCAGCAGUGGGGAAUCGUAGACAAUGGGGGCAACCCUGAUCUAGCCAUGCCGCGUGAGUGAUGAAGGCCUUAGGGUUGUAAAGCGCUUUCAGCUGGGAAGAUAAUGACGGUACCAGCAGAAGAAGCCCCGGCUAACUCCGUG
Molecule: ribosomal RNA, 431 nt
Filed under: uncultured bacterium
Lineage: Bacteria
Description: partial 16S ribosomal RNA
Rfam family: Bacterial small subunit ribosomal RNA
Source: RNAcentral